RNAcentral lists this ribosomal RNA (806 nucleotides) under uncultured bacterium. RNAcentral's name for it is "bacterial SSU rRNA". It matches the Rfam family "Bacterial small subunit ribosomal RNA", at positions 8 to 794 of the family's 1533-position model. The record is from RNAcentral.
AGAGUUUGAUCAUGGCUCAGGACGAACGCUGGCGGCGUGCCUAAUACAUGCAAGUCGAGCGAACAGAGAAGGAGCUUGCUCCUUCGACGUUAGCGGCGGACGGGUGAGUAACACGUGGGCAACCUACCCUAUAGUUUGGGAUAACUCCGGGAAACCGGGGCUAAUACCGAAUAAUCUAUUUCACCUCAUGGUGAAAUACUGAAAGACGGUCUCGGCUGUCGCUAUAGGAUGGGCCCGCGGCGCAUUAGCUAGUUGGUGAGGUAACGGCUCACCAAGGCGACGAUGCGUAGCCGACCUGAGAGGGUGAUCGGCCACACUGGGACUGAGACACGGCCCAGACUCCUACGGGAGGCAGCAGUAGGGAAUCUUCCGCAAUGGACGAAAGUCUGACGGAGCAACGCCGCGUGAGUGAUGAAGGCUUUCGGGUCGUAAAACUCUGUUGUAAGGGAAGAAUAAGUACAGUAGUAACUGGCUGUACCUUGACGGUACCUUAUUAGAAAGCCACGGCUAACUACGUGCCAGCAGCCGCGGUAAUACGUAGGUGGCAAGCGUUGUCCGGAAUUAUUGGGCGUAAAGCGCGCGCAGGUGGUUUCUUAAGUCUGAUGUGAAAGCCCACGGCUCAACCGUGGAGGGUCAUUGGAAACUGGGAGACUUGAGUGCAGAAGAGGAUAGUGGAAUUCCAAGUGUAGCGGUGAAAUGCGUAGAGAUUUGGAGGAACACCAGUGGCGAAGGCGACUAUCUGGUCUGUAACUGACGCUGAGGAGCGAAAGCGUGGGGAGCGAACAGGAUUAGAUACCCCUGGUAGU